RNAcentral lists this ribosomal RNA (703 nucleotides) under uncultured eukaryote. RNAcentral's name for it is "bacterial SSU rRNA". It matches the Rfam family "Eukaryotic small subunit ribosomal RNA", at positions 73 to 853 of the family's 1831-position model. The record is from RNAcentral.
ACUAGUGAUUGAAACUGCGAAUGGCUCACUAAAACAGUUAUAAUUUAUUUGAUGAUUUUUUUACAUGGAUAACCAUGGGAAACUAUGGCUAAUACAUGCAUAAGCCUCACGGCUGUAUUUAUUAGUCUUAAACCAAUACGCAAGUAUUGAGAGGAAUCAUAAUAACUGAUCGAAGCGCAGUCAAAUGCGCUACAUCAUAUAAGUUUCUGCCCUAUCAGCCAGAUGGUAGUGUAUUGGACUACCAUAGCGGUAACGGGUAGCGGGGAAUUAGGGUUCGAUUCCGGAGAGGGAGCCUGAGAAACGGCUACCAUUUCUACGGAAGGCAGCAGGCGCGUAAAUUGCCCAAUCCUAACUCAGGGAGGCAAUUAAUAGACAUAACAAUUCCGGCCUUUUGGCUUUGGAAAGGUAAUGAGCUAAGUUUAAGUAUCUUGGCGAAAUCUAUUGGAGGGCAAGUCUGGUGCCAGCAGCCGCGGUAAUUCCAGCUCCAAUAGCGUAUGUUAAUUUUGCUGCAAUUAAAAAGCUCGUAGUUGAACUUCCGGUACACGCAAGUGUGCCUGUCUGACACGACUAUCGAUACAGAAAUGUUUUGGUAACUCGCACAGACGUUUACUGUGAACAAAUUAGAGUGCUUAAGACAAGCGUUUGCUUGAAUAUUUUAGCAUGGAAUAAUAAAAUACGACUUUCUUUAUUUUAUUGGUUAUUU